GACGAACGCUGGCGGCGUGCUUAACACAUGCAAGUCGAACGGAAAGGCCCUGCUUUUGUGGGGUGCUCGAGUGGCGAACGGGUGAGUAACACGUGAGUAACCUGCCCUUGACUUUGGGAUAACUUCAGGAAACUGGGGCUAAUACCGGAUAGGAGCUCCUGCUGCAUGGUGGGGGUUGGAAAGUUUCGGCGGUUGGGGAUGGACUCGCGGCUUAUCAGCUUGUUGGUGGGGUAGUGGCUUACCAAGGCUUCGACGGGUAGCCGGCCUGAGAGGGUGACCGGCGACAGUGGGACUGAGAGACGGCCCAGACUCCUACGGGAGGCAGCAGUGGGGAAUAUUGCACAAUGGGCGGAAGCCUGAUGCAGCAACGCCGCGUGCGGGAUGACGGCCUUCGGGUUGUAAACCGCUUUCGCCUGUGACGAAGCGUGAGUGACGGUAAUGGGUAAAGAAGCACCGGCUAACUACGUG
RNAcentral lists this ribosomal RNA (468 nucleotides) under uncultured bacterium. Its description in RNAcentral is "partial 16S ribosomal RNA". It matches the Rfam family "Bacterial small subunit ribosomal RNA", at positions 28 to 507 of the family's 1533-position model. The record is from RNAcentral.